RNAcentral lists this long non-coding RNA (209 nucleotides) under Hordeum vulgare. Its description in RNAcentral is "long non-coding RNA (HVUL_LNC016997)". The record is from RNAcentral. Lineage: Eukaryota; Viridiplantae; Streptophyta; Magnoliopsida; Poales; Poaceae.
GCAGAAUAUGAAUAUUACAAAGUAGUGCAAAUAUAGCAGAAAUGGCACACACUUCAUGAACAAAGUAGCAGGUCCUAAAAUAAUUCCAUCACAACUAGCUUCUGGGGGCGGCAGCUCUUUCCUUUGCUACUAUCUGGUUCUUGGAGGUUGCAGAGAAGACUCAAAAUAACUCUGCAAGAAAGCAGUGAUCUUGAGCCCACAUGGAAAAA